Aquila chrysaetos chrysaetos is the source of this 1541-nucleotide long non-coding RNA. RefSeq lists it as uncharacterized. The record is from RefSeq and is a predicted model, not a curated record. Lineage: Eukaryota; Metazoa; Chordata; Aves; Accipitriformes; Accipitridae. The transcript is spliced from 5 exons.
AGCGGCGGCGGGUCCCUCUGCGGGCAGCGGGGCCGGCCUCUCCCUCGGUCCCGCUCCGUCCCGGCUGGGUGACGGGAGGGUCUCUGGUACCCUCGGGCGGGGGAGGCCGCAACCGCCCGGGGGUUGGGGAGAUGCUUUCGCUCCCUCGAGCGGGGAGGCUUGGGCCGACGGGGAGGCCUCGGGCGCGGGAAGCCGGUACCGGCCGAGGUGGGCCCCUUCUGGGCAGGGCUCCUGCCGCACUGACCGCGGGCUGCUCUCCCCAGGUCCUCCUUCCCGCGCCAUGUUGCAGCGAAGCUUCUUGAGGGCGGUGGCGGCCGGUUCCUCUUCGCUUCUUCUCCCCCGUCGCUGAACGAGGGAAAGCUGCGGCGUGAGGACAUGGCUGCGGACCGGCAGGACACCCCCCCCUUGCUGUGCAGGAGGAGGAGGAAGGUGUGAGUGGAGCCUGGCAGAAGACAAAGGGUGAAGUGAAAAAAGAUUCUGUGCCUUGAAAAAUCAAGGAGAAGGCCGUGUGACAUGGCAGACCCAGGAGGUCUUCUCAAAGACCUGAGUUACUUUUGAGAACAGGACUGAGUUCUGGAACUUGCUUCAAAUAUUGAAGAUCGUGCCUUGAGUUUUAGAAUUUCUAGCAAACCUGGCUACAGCAAAAUAAAUGGUUGGCAGUGUCUGCAUUUGAAGAUUCCUGAAACUUCAUCUUUUCUCACACAUGGGUUCAAGCACACUACAGCCAAAGUGCAUGCGAUGCAGCUUGUGGUUCUGAAUGUUUGCUGUAACCUGUGUACUCAACUGUCUGUCUAAAAAAAAUUACAGCUGUUCUGCUCCAAGUGUCCCUUCUGCUUUUGCUGUACUCCUGUUGAAUAGUCGUAGGAGUUGCAAUCUUGCCUUUCUCCCAGUCAUCUCGGCUCAUGUUCUAAAAGCACUGUUGUUUCAGUCUGUGUUUUCUCUACAUGGUUAAGAAGAAUUUUUAAAAAAAACCCCAAAAAACUAAAUAAAGAUGCCACCUACAAUAAGUCUGAAAUAAUUAUGCUUGUGUAUUUGUAGCACCACAAGUAGUAUUAAUUUUUAACCAUUUUAGGAUUUAAGACUUAUUUGUGGAUAUGAGAGCUAGGAUGGUUUUUUUUACUUUAAACAAUGAAAGGUAGAAGUCUUGCUGCUUACCUCCAUCCCCUUGUGGCAUAAAUCUGUGCUGCUAAAGCAGCAUCUGGUGAGAUCAGGUUGUCAGUCUUUCAGUGUUCUGGCUUUUCCUCUUUUUCCAGCUAAUGUGGGAAAUCUGGAGACAGCAUGAGUGUAAAAUAGCUUUGCCUUUAGUCAUUUUUCUCCCAUAUUGCAGUGUAGCUUGUAAACCAUAAGCACGUGUCUGAAAACACUUGUGCUUUUUAUUAGUGAUGAACAAAACUUGGUGUUCUUGGGGUGUGUGAGUCGUAAGUUAUGCCUGGAGUGUCCACUCCUGUUGCUGGGGUGUACAGAUUAAUAACGUAAUGUGACAGUUCUUGUCAGAAGUGUCUUUAUUUGAAUAAAGCUGCCUUGGCUAGUUCUUUAAAGUA